This 36401-nucleotide long non-coding RNA is filed under the name Vitis vinifera (wine grape). RNAcentral's name for it is "long non-coding RNA (VVIN_LNC002041)". The record is from RNAcentral. Lineage: Eukaryota; Viridiplantae; Streptophyta; Magnoliopsida; Vitales; Vitaceae.
UUCUUCAUCCUUUGAUUGCCAGCUGGAAUUUUCCUAAAGUUUCGGCCUCAUAAAUUAUAAUUUCGGUGAACAAGAUAUACAAAUCUUAUGGUGAAUGGAACCAAACUCAAAAAGUUUUACAAAAAAAAAAAUAAUAUUAUUAAAAAAUUACCUCAACUAAUUCAAAUAGUCCCAUAUUCAAAAUUUAUAAUGAAAAAAAAAAUCAAUUGAUUUUCUUGUCAACCAAACAAGGCGCAAAAACCCAUAAAAACAAUAACAAUCAAACAAACCUAACAUAACACCCAAAUCACACGAAACAUGUAUACUACUCAGAGUUAGAGUUAGGGUUAGGGUUAGGGUUUCAUUUUUAUGUUUUAGAAAGUUGGUGGAAGUUUUGAGGAAAUUUGGGAGAAAAAAAUCAAGCUUUUUGAAAAAAAAAAACAAAGCACUUUUAUAACAUGGAAUUUUCAAUAGAAAGGGAAUAGAGAGAGAAAGAGUGAGGAGAGAAGAAGAGAAGGAAAAUGAAGGUUUAGAAAGAUAUUGCAUCAUCACAAUUUUCUUAUCAUUUUCACUCCCUAUGAUUUGGUUGCAAUUUGGGGAGGAAGAAAAAAAAAGAGGAGAACGAAGGUAGAUGAGGACUUGGAUAGGGUUUUGAAAUGAAAUGAUACUUUUACUCUCACUUAAAUAGGUCACGUGAAUAACACUAACACAUGCAUCUUCGGUCCAAUUAAGGUAAUACUGUCACUUAAAAAAUGCAUAUUACAUGUAAUUAUAAAAUAUGAAAGGUACAUUGUUCGAUUGUAAAUUCAAUGAGAUAAUAUAUAAAAUAUGCUAUAAGUUAGAGGGAUAAAGUAUAAUAAACCCUAUAUACAUAAACAACAGAGUUUUAUUUAUAUUUGCUAAAUUAAUUGAAUUCUAAGUCAAUAUAAAAUUUUCCGAGUAAUUCAAGAUUUUAAAGAUUCAAUAUUGUUUUAUAAACUUGGAAGGAAGGGUUCCAAGAAUUUUCCACUCUUUUAAAUGGUCAAAAAAACAUGUAGGUACGCAAUUAAAUCAUCUUUCUUCCAUGCUAAAAAAAUAAUAAAUAUAUAUUGUAAGUUUUAAAUUAAAGUAUUAUUUAAGAAUUCGGUAAUAAACUCAAUCAUAUGGUUAUACCAAAAUCAAAAUAUUAAAAAUAUUUUAGGUAAAAAAAAAGGGAAAAUAUAUUUAAUAAUCAAAUAAUAGAAAAUAAUUUUUUAUUUUUAAAAUAGAAAAUAUAAUAUUUUUUAAAAAUAUAUUUUUUUAUUAUUUUUACUCGUUUUUAAAAAAUAAUUAUAUAAAUAUGAGGAAAGAUUAAAAAUAAAAUAUUAUAUGUAAAAAUUAUUUUUAAAACAAAUUUUAAAAUAUAAAAAAUAAGUUAAAAAUAGGAUUAUCGUGGGCCAUUAACAAACCUAGACUAAGUAGGCCAUGGGUGUCUUGACGAUUUUUGCUGCAUUUUUGGUGUUUGAUUUCUUUAUUCAAUAUGAUCACCCAAACACAGAUAUAUAUAUAUAUAUAUAUAUAUAUAUAUAUAUCAAUUCAUUUAAAACAUACCUUCUUCUAUUUUGGAACAUAUCUGAGUCCAUUAUUUCUCGAGAUGGAUAAGGUAUGGAUCUUUUAAGGCUAUAGAGGGCACCACAUUUCUCUGUAUUUCUAAUUCAAAAGAUGUGAUCUCAAGAACCAAUACUUAGUCUUAUAUUUAUACCCUCUAUGCCUUAAAAGACCAUACCCUUUGGACUAUUGGGCAUCGCGAGUCUUAGGCCCAUCAUCUAAGACCCGUUAUAUAUCUGGGCUUUAUACAUGAGGUGACGCAUACUCUAGAUCAAAUAGAAAUCAUAUAUAUAUAUAUAUGGAUAGCUAAAUCCUGAACGAUGCCCUUUUAGAGGAUCGAGCUCUGCUUUUUUAUAAUUAAAAUUGAUUUGUAGCGGUGAGAAAAGUUAAGGCUGUGUUUGUUUUCUAAUGUAAAAAUGCAUUUUGAAGUAUGGGAAAUUUGAGGGUCAUAAACCAUAUUGGUUUAAGAUUGCAAUGCUCGUCGGCAACUGAACCCAUACGUACAUACAAUCACCCCGACCCCGACUCCGACCACUUCAUAUUGAAACUGGCCUCGAGGCUCGAGCCUCCCUUCCUAACAGUGAAACCUACCAGCAAGUCAACAAAAUGUGAAUGCAGUAGAGGCAAGGAGAGCAAAAUCUGCUCAAUCAUAAAGGGUGUUUGUUGAGAGAGAUGAUGGGCAUAGGCCUCUAGCUGUUCCUUUAGCUUAUUAUAUAUAGUCGGGUGGUUGGAAAUCUUAGUGGCUAUGAAAUCUGAGGACAGACUAUUCAUGUCAGUGACUUAGAAAUAAUUAUCUCCAAAUUUGGCAGUUUAUGCAUGAAGCAUACUAUAUAUUUAAUAUCUAAAACCCAGCUUUGAGAAACUUCAUGUGCCACGAAAUUUCUCAUUUACUACAUGACAGUGAUGACACAACCCACAAUGGGGAGGGAAACUUCUGACUUCUGAGAAUAAUCAGACUUUCUCAAGGACAGUUUGUCUCCACUUCACCCCCACCUUCCAUGGAAAUUUCCUCCUAUGCUUACCAUCUUCACCCAACUUGUGGUAACGAAAAAAUAAAAUAAAAAAAUUAGAAAGGAAAUUUUUUUAUCAUAUUUAGUUUUUCCACUAGAAAUAUAAAAAAUAAAUUAAUUAAAAUUUUAUAUAUUUUAAAUUAUUUAAUUAGUUAAAAUAAGUGAAAUGCGCUUCAAAUUUGAUAUAAAUUAGAUUUAUUUAUUUAUUUUAUUUGCCAUUAAAUUAAAUCUAAAUCAAUUUUUAAUCAAUGAAUCUAUGUUGAUCAUGUUAAACUUAAAAGUAAUUGUAUCCAGCUACUUUUCGAACGUUACAAUUUAUUUUUUAAUACGUAACCAUGUGAAAUUUUUAUUUUUUAUCUGGAUAGGCUUUUGGACCCCUUUCAAAUGGAUGGGCCACAAUUGAAAAUGGGCCGGAUCGGAAAGAUGUGGUCGCCCAAAGGAAUCGAGGUCCAUAACGGUUGCUUCCUGACAAAGCGAAGGCGCAUGUUCUCAACCACGAUUCGUGUCGCCGAAUCAACGAACAAUUAUGGGCUAAUAGAUCAUAAAGGAAACAAAUGCUAAGGUGACAAGAAUGUCCUCGACUUGGCGCCAUUCUUGUUUCAACCAAAUCUAGCGAGGAGGACAUAUCUGUAUUUUCAGUUUAUAAGUUAUCUUCUCCUCCGUUUGGUUAUGAUAUUUUUGUAGUCACCCCAUAAUCUUUUGAAAUUGCAACUAGGCCCUUUCAUGGCGACUCUCACCGCCGUGUCUUCUGCUUCAUGGCCAAACCCUAACCCUAGUCCUAAUUCGACCUUUCUCUCUCAGCAGAGCCACCCCGAGCAGUAUCCGGCGGUUCAGGAUCCCACUGCAAUGCGUCAGCAUCAGGGAACCGGCCUCUCCGGAGAUGGAGGCGAGGAUGAAUCAUUUUCUUCUUCUCCAAAUCAUCACACUGUUCAAAGCCCUAAUUCUAAUCUUCGUGAAGUUGUAUCUUAUUCGACAUCCUCUAUACCGUCUCUUCUCCAUAUUUCCUUCAAUCAGGACCACGGUUGCUUCGCCGCGGGCACGGAUAACGGCUUCCGGAUCUAUAAUUGCGACCCGUUCCGCGAGAUUUUCCGGCGAGACUUCGACCGCGGCGGAGGAAUUGGCGUCGUGGAGAUGCUAUUCCGGUGCAACAUCCUGGCCCUGGUUGGCGGCGGACCUGAGCCGCAGUAUCCGCUCAACAAAGUCAUGAUUUGGGAUGAUCACCAAAGCCGGUGCAUUGGAGAGCUGUCAUUCCGAUCGGAGGUCCGAGCAGUUAAGCUCCGGCGGGACCGUAUCAUAGUGGUCUUGGAACAGAAGAUUUUCUUGUACAACUUCGCGGACUUGAAGCUGUUACAUCAGAUUGAGACGAUUGCAAAUCCCAGGGGGCUUUGCGCGGUUUCGCAGCUCACUGCGUCGCUUGUGUUGGUGUGUCCAGGGUUGCAGAAGGGGCAGGUCAGGGUCGAGCAUUACGCUUCGAGGAGGACCAAGUUCUUCGCGGCCCAUGAUUCUAGACUUGCGUGUUUCGCGCUCACUACGGACGGCCAAUUGCUCGCCACUGCAAGCACCAAAGGAACUCUGGUUAGAAUUUUCAAUACUUCCGAUGGCACACGGCUGCAAGAGGUACAUUAUAUGCCCUUUUUCAGUUCUGCGCUUUGAGGAGUGAACUUGAAAUUUUGAUGAUUCUGUAAAUGGGCCAUAGGCUAUUGAUAUUUUGAUGUUUCUCUAUUAGGGUUAUUAUAAAAGUAGUAUUCCCAAUUUCCCGAUUUUAGGUUUCUUGUUGAAAUAGAUUGUGAAGUAUAAUUCAUUUAGCCAUGUCCCUUCUUUUUCCUCUACUUCUUGUGGAGACCACAGCAGGCACAGUUGACGUACAACCUCAAUUUGGAUAGCUGUUGUUGUUAGCAAACAGUUCAAAGUGUGACUGGUUUUUGUAGUUAUCAUGCUAGGAUCACCUUCAAUCUCAAUUGAGAACAACGGAAAAUGUCUUCACACAAUAAUAACCUGCCGUGUAAGUAUCGAUUGAAGGUUAAUCCUUUCUGGGAUUCAUAGCCAUAAAUGAAGCUUGAAUAGUACUCUGCGUUGCAAGAAACAAGUAUAAAUGAACUUCCUUUGUCUACUUGUGGAUUAAUCUAAUGAACCAAUUUUUCUGAACUGCAGAGGAGCUCUUGUUUAUGUUAGAAACUCAUAUUACUUGCUAUUCGAUACUUAUUCUACCAUUCAUCUUUCUGCAAGAAUUUGACAUGUAUCAUAGAUUUAAAUUAAUUGAAUAUCUAAUGUAGGUGCGGCGGGGAGCAGAUAGAGCUGAGGUUUACAGUAUGGCAUUCUCUUCAACUGCCCAGUGGCUAGCAGUAUCAAGUGACAAGGGCACUGUCCAUGUUUUUGGGCUUAAGGUUAACUCAGGAUCCUUAGGAAAUGACAAGUCCCAUGGUGCAUCUGAUGCCAAUCUUGCUGUUGCAUCAUCCGGCUUAUCUCUUUCUUUCAUCAAGGGUAAGGUGCCUUUUCUAGAAUAUGACUUGAGGCUGACCAUUUUUCUUGAUUUUGAAUAAACAGGUCAAUUGAGUUAUAAAUAUGUGAGGUUGGGAGGCUAAUUAUACCGACUCAAGCAAAAUGCCAAACUCUAUUAAAUGGGUUGCACAAGGCUGUAUGAUAAUUAGGUUGUGUUUAAUUUCAUUGUUUUAACCUAAUUAUCAUUCAUGUCAUGUUUUUCUUAUGUCGAAUAACUAGUUUUGACACAACAUGAACAUGAUCUAGUAACACGAAUUGACACCCCUGGCUAUUAUGUGAAUAUGCAUACGCAAAGUUAAAAUAGGCUUCACUGCUUGAUCUCCAUGGUUCCAAGACCACAUAUUGGAUGGAACUUUAAUAAUACAGUUUUGUUUUUGAUAAGCAAAACUGUAUUAUCAUCGGGCCUUGUAUGUGUACUCUUGAAUGCAACUGUAUCCACUUCUCUCCUUUUGAAUGCAACUGCUUUCUCUUGGUUCCUGUUACUGGAUGGUGCUUACUAGAGUAUCAACUAAUGGAAGUGAAGAAUAGGAGAGAUUAGGCCAUGGGGUUCAGGAUUCUAUUUAUUUAUUUAUCAGUUUUUGGAUAAUCAUCAUGGGCAUGUCUAUUGCGUUUCUUAUUGAACAGAAGCUUUGAAGUUCUAUCCUUUUGAUUCUAAUUCUGACUAGGUUUUCAUGUGCAGGAGUGCUGCCCAAGUAUUUCAGCUCUGAGUGGUCGGUUGCUCAGUUCCGCCUUCAUGAGGGUUCUCAGUAUAUUGUUGCAUUUGGUCAUCAGAAGAACACAGUGGUAAUUCUGGGAAUGGAUGGAAGGUAAGAGAUAUUCUUAACAGAAGUUUGUGAGAAGAGUUGAUCUGAAAUGGAAUCAUGAUAAGCAAUUGAAUUGAAUUUGAAUGCAGCUUCUAUAGAUGUCAGUUCGAUCCUGUGACUGGGGGAGAGAUGACACAGCUGGAGUAUCACAACUUCCUUAAACCAGAAGAAGCUUUCUAAUGGAGAUCUAGGAUAUUAUCUGCAUGCCCAAUUUCCUAGCUAUAUAUGACAUCCCUCUCUCUCUGGGUCUUUGUGCCCUUUGUCCCCUUUUCCCCUUCUAGGUGUGGCCUAUGGGUCCAUUAUGGUGUAAAUAUACGAGUAUAGAUAGGUCAAAGUUUAAGACUAAUUUACCAUUAACAAGGAAAAAUGAAAUUUAAUGAAAAAAAAAAAAAAGAAGAGAGAUUAGUACUCAUUUUUCAUACUUGUCUUCAUAUUUGCCAUUGUGUGGACGGGUUUAUUUGGACAACCUUUUUUUAUAAUUUAGAUUACCAACCUUCCUUAUUUAAUAUCAACCAAAAAAAUAUUUUAUACAAUAUUCUUUAUAAAAAACGAGACUUUUCUAUAAUCUUGAGGCAAAUUCCAUUAUACCAUAAAUGGAAUUUGCCUAUUUAUCAUGCCUAUAUCUAUGAAUGAGAAAAAUCAUUUCAUUAUACCAUAAAAUCAAAUGCAAUUAUCAAAACACCUAAUGUUUCUCCACUUCUUAUAUCCACCGUAAACUAUGAGCCUCCUACUCUACUUGGUAUAUCUUUAUCCAAUUUAAAUAGUUUUUAAAUAUUAAUCUUUAUUCCAUAAUUUUUUCCUCCCCUAACCUAAAAUAUUUAUAAUGAUAUUCUUAACAAUUUUUUUAUUAUAUAUAAUAAAAUCUAAUAUUACAAUAAUAUAUUAAAAGUCCUCACUCCAUCACAAUACUUAAUUUUUUUCUAAGCAAUUAAUUCUCUAUUCUUUCGAUUUUUUUGCUUUUAACUACCAUUGGGCAAUUACAUUUUUAAAUAUAAAUUUCAAAGUACACGUUUAUUAGAAUCCUGUUAAGAAAUACAAAACAUGUUGUGGACCCCGCGUUUCGAUCUAUCUCAAUGCGUUUCCCACUCAAUGGCGAGCUCGAUUUUUAUUUUAUUAGAAAAAAUGAUUUUUAUCGAUUAAGAAAAUGACUUGGAGUCGCCACUUAUUUUUGUUUUAUUAUUAAAGGGUAAACAAAAUAAGAAAGAAAAACCCUAAGUGUGACUCCUUAUUUUGGAAAAGGCGGUCUGUGAAAAACCGGAUCGGGUUCGGGGGUCAGGUUACUUCUCGGGAAGGUAUGGUAAAGACCGUAGCACCCCUCUAAGUCCCUAAAGUCGGGUCUCUACUAAUAAAAUGAAGCUGACAUGACAACCAAUGAGAAAGUCAAUGAAUACCUAGGACGAAUCAUGCACAUACGAGAAUUAAAACAUGCAAAUAAAAUGAUUAGGAUGCGAGUGGAUGUGUACCUGGACCGUGAACGAUCAAUGCGCUAUCAUAAAACAGGGUUAGUGAGCAAUGAACAAAAUAUAAUUAAGCGCAUAACAUGGAACAAAAUAAAUCAAACACGCACGAUAAGUAAAUCAAUCAAACAAUCAAUCAAUCGUCAAUUCACAUAUGUGGGGCCCCCACCAAAGCCCGUUUAUUUUUGCAUGAAUUAAUUCCAUAAUUUCCAUUAUUCGGAGUUACAGAAUUGAAUCUAUGCUUAUUUUUAAAACAUUUUAAAAGAUCAUGAAAGAUUUAAAAAAAUUGCUUGCCGAAUAGAAAAUGGAAGCAAAUUUUAUUAAAAAGAGAUUUCAAGUGAUUCUAAAAAAAAACCUAAAGGUGAAAAUUAAAAAUAAAUAAAUAAAUAAAUUAUUUGAUAAAAAUGGAGUUUGGAAAAUUAACAAAGAAACUAGAAAUCGGGAAAUUAUGUGGAAAAUGGGAGUUUUAGGACUUAAAAAUAAAUCUAAAGAUGAAAAUUCGAAAAGCAAAAAUUGUUUGAAGGAUUUGGAAAUUUGACAUUAUAAAAAAAAAACAAUUGGAGGGAUUAUUAAUAAAAUGAUGUUCAGGAAAAUUAAUUUGGAAAUCAUAGGAACAGGAAGUGGGUGAUAACACGUGGCUUCCGAUUUACUGCCAUUGCCACUAUACCCACCAUAGUCACCAAGCCCAUAGUCAAUGCCUCCAAGUGCUCGGUAGGAAAUAGGCCCAAAACACUAAGACGUGCCCCAGAGUUAGAGAAGAUGCUGGAGAGAUCUUUGAUCAAGCCACUUCACCAGAUUUAUGGCGAUAGAUCUUUCCGAAGACAUGAAGAACGGUGACAAAGCCGAUAAAGCAAAGGUUCAUCACGAGAACCACCGUUGGAGUAAUCUUCAAGCCCGGAUCGUCAUCGGUGUAGAACAAGAGCAUGUUGCUCUCGCUGCUGCCACUGCCGCACCCUCCGGAGCUCUGAAACGACAGUGCGUGUGAGGAGAUUGACAACGACGCCGUCGAAGACAACCGGUCUACAUAACCCUCCAACAAGCUUCGUCCUGAAGCUACUUCUGCCGCGGUGCUUUCCACAUGUCGUCCAUACAUCCAGUGACCCGAAUCAGCGCCACCUCGUCCUCAACUCCAACGCAGCUGAAUCUCACGCUGCUGUCCAGUUUGACCUGCGUCGGAAAGAACGACGUUGGGGGCCACGCAGGCAUCGACGGUGAUCUUCGGGAGCCACUGCCCCAGGGGAAUUAUCCUUCUCCGUCCUUUUUUUGAGCCUUCAACACUUUCUACAGCAAAAGUCUCCUCAACUUUUGAUGGCCCCCACAUGUACCAGUUGAGGCUAUUUUAUGAAUUUCNNNNNNNNNNNNNNNNNNNNNNNNNNNNNNNNNNNNNNNNNNNNNNNNNNNNNNNNNNNNNNNNNNNNNNNNNNNNNNNNNNNNNNNNNNNNNNNNNNNNAUUCAAAACAAGAUGUCCAAUACUCCAAAAGAACACCAAAAAAACAGAGAAGAAAGUGAAGAAAACAGAGUGCGUGCAAGAGAUGAUAAUACCAUUAAACCAAACUUUACUUCAUGAAGAUCGGAGAGCUUAAAACAAUCUGGUGGGUUAAGUGAAUGGUUUUAACACAUAAACAAACAACAUCGACACCAUGUGACUCACACAGGAAUAAACAAAAAUCAAGCAAGCAGGGAUGAAAACAUGCUUAAGAUCUUAAACAGUCAAAAUGAACAUUUCAAAUAUUAGGAAAGGAGUCAAAUAUGGUUGUGAAAAGGAAAAACCUGAAGUCGAAGACAACCAAAAUUUGGAUGACUCCUUUUCUCUCUGUGACUGAAAUCCCACCUUCUCGUUCUACUCCCUGAGCUGAGAACUCUCCUCUCAACUCCAAACUCACUCCAGACCAGCCUCUCUUCACUCUCCCCCUCCUCUCUGACUCUCUCUCUCUAGCUAAACUCCUCUAAGCCUUCCCUCCUCCUCAAAAUAUCUCUAACGGACUCUGAAAAGCACUCCCUACUCCAGCUGCCAGAGACGCUCCUCCAUUCACGGCUUCCAGAUUCCCAUGCAACGUGUCCCCUUUUGAUUGGCUUCCCAAACCACUAUUAUGAUUCUCUCAUGGCUUCUCAGGUGUUGACACGUGGCUGACCAAGGCUCUUCCACAUGGUAAAAUUGAGCUGCAAGGUAGGAAUGACCUAAAAGGGGGUCUACAAAUAUGCCCCUCUUCGGUAGAGUUCACGAGUGUAAAGAACAUGAACACUGGAGUGAAAAGUAAGUGUGAAUAGUGAGUGGAAUGAAGUGAACUCUACCGAAGAACCAAGGAGACCCCCAUAGAGACACUAGUGAGAUAUAAACUCACUCAGACUAACAGAUAAACAACGAGGCUCUAAUCCUAAAAGGAAAUGAUGUCUCAAAAAUGCCUCUGCAGCCACACUAAGGAUCCAAGCUCCCUCUAAGACGUCUCCAAAAGUGACUCGAAGAUCAAUGUCAAAGAUGAGUAACAGUCGAACCACCCUAGAGUACAAGAAAGAAUGUGCCCGAAGGAAACUACCCUAUGUGAACUACAUGAGAAGACUAGGUGUAGGGUGCCCAACAACAUGACAAAAAUACGCAUCACGGAAUCAAAGAACUAUGUCAUGUGCAAUGGAAUGGGAAGUCUAGAAGAGCAAUGACGAUCAAGCAAUGAGCUCCAGGUAACUGAGUGAGGAAAAUGACUCUGAAAAACCAAAAUGGAGGAAUAAUGGCGACUCAGAAUGCAAAGAAGACUCAACUAUGCAGGUGUGACUCGAAGGUGAACAAGACUCAACUCAAUCCGACAAAACAAUGACCGAUCGAUAUAGGUGCGGUCCCGACUCAAACUGAACUGAUAGGAAGAUGGUCGAUCGAUAUAGGUGCGGCCCAGACUCAAACUGACGUGAUGAAUGACCGAUCGAUAUAGGUGCGGUCCCGACUCGAACUGAACUGAUAGGAAGAUGGCCGAUCGAUAUAGGUGCGGCCCCGACUCAAACUGACAUGAUGAAUGACCGAUCGAUAUAGGUGCGGUCCCGACUCGAACUGAACUGAUAGGAAGAUGGCCGAUCGAUAUAGGUGCGGCCCCGACUCAAACUGACAUGAUGAAUGACCGAUCGAUAUAGGUGCGGUCCCGACUCUAACUGAACUGAUAGGAAGAUGGCCGAUCGAUAUAGGUGCGGCCCCGACUCAAACUGACAUGAUGAAUGACCGAUCGAUAUAGGUGCGGUCCCGAAACUAAACUGAUAGAAAGAUGGCCGAUCGAUAUAGGUGCGGCCCCGACUCAAACUGACAUGAUGAAUGGCCGAUCGAUAUAGGUGCGGUCCCAGAAACUAAACUGAUAGGAAGAUGGCCGAUCGAUAUAGGUGCGGCCCCGACUCAAACUGACAUGAUGAAUGACCGAUCGAUAUAGGUGCGGUCCCAGAAACUAAACUGAUAGGAUGAAUGACCGAUCGAUAUAGGUGCGGUCCCAGAAACUAAACUGAUAGGAUGAAUGACCGAUCGAUAUAGGUGCGGUCCCAGAAACUAAACUGAUAGGAUGAAUGACCGAUCGAUAUAGGUGCGGUCCCAGAAACUAAACUGAUAGGAAGAUGGCCGAUCGAUAUAGGUGCGGCCCCGACUCGAACUGAACUAAUAGGAAGAUGGCCGAUCGAUAUAGGUGCGGCCCCGACUCAAACUGACAUGAUGAAUGACCGAUCGAUAUAGGUGCGGUCCCAGAAACUAAACUGAUAGGAUGAAUGACCGAUUGAUAUAGGUGCGGUCCCAGAAACUAAACUGAUAGGAAGAUGGCCGAUCGAUAUAGGUGCGGCCCCGACUCAAACUGACAUGAUGAAUGACCGAUCGAUAUAGGUGCGGUCCUAGAAACUGAACUGAUACGAAGAUGGCCGAUCGAUAUAGGUGCGGCCCCGGAUUCUAACUGAACUGAUAGGAAGAUGGCCGAUCGAUAUAGGUGCGGCCCCGACUCAAACUGACACGAUAAUGACCGAUCGAUAUAGGUGCGGCCCCGACUCGAACUCAAACUGAUAAGAUGAAUGACCGAUCGAUAUAGGUGCGGUCCCGACUCAAACUGACACGACGAAUGACCGAUCGAUAUAGGUGCGGUCCCGACUCGAACUGAACUGAUAGGAAGAUGGCCGAUCGAUAUAGGUGCGGCCCCGGACUCUAACUGACACUGAUGAUGAUGAAUGACUUGGUCAAGUGACCCAAAACCAAAGGAUGACUCAGAUAAUAAUGCAAACAAACUCGAUCGGAGGGGAUAUGCCCCAGUAUGACAACUCAUGCGGAUCGACAACUAGGUCGACAGAUAAUGAAGCCUGUGAAAGGUCCGAUGAUCUCGGAGAAGGAGGGUAUGCCCCAGUAUGCAACUCAAGGGAAUCAACAACUAGAUCAAAAGUGAGUGAAACCGGUGGAAGGUUCAAUGCUCUCGGAGAAGGGGUAUGCCCCAGUAUGCAAUGACGAACAGACAGAGAUGCAAAAUGCCUCAAAACUACUGUACUCUGAAAUAUGCUCAUCCAUCAUGUAAUGAAAAUGUCCAACCUCAAAUAGGUAAUGCCAAACAGGACUAUGUAUAGUGAUACCAUGCUGACUAAACAGAAAUGACUGACGAAUAAAAACAAUGAUGACCAAUGCCCGAAAUGUGAAAAACAAGCAAAUCAACACUCAACAUGCCAACUGUCAAAAUGAAAGCAUCAACACUAAUAAGUCAGCAAUCUGUCAGGCCCUGCCAUCAUGGAAGAUGUUGAACCUAAAGUCCAAAAGAUAUAUGAAAGCACAACCAAGGUGAUCGAGGACUGAUCUACAUCUCCUCAUAAUCGAGAAAGGGGUGAGGUCAUGUGCCAUGGUAAGAUGUGAAGGAUAAAAGAAGGUGAUGGUCAGGCUCCGGUAUGAGAGAAGGUAUGAAAGUAUCCAUGGUGAAACGUCUGAGUAUGAAAUGAAAGGUAGGGAGAUAUCCGAGAUCAUCCAAGUAUGCCGAGAAGACUAAACCCAAGGUGUCGAUAACUCCAUAACCCAUCGUAAGUAGCAAUCACAAACAGGAAGUCAAGCCUCAAUGUCAAAACCUCCAACAAGGUGGCUAUGCCCCAGUAUGCAAUGAGGACAACAUGAAAUAAUCCAAUGAUCUCCCUAUCACUCGUCAGGUGCUCCAAUGUCAAGAACCAAUAUGAUCUCCCUCCAAAAGAUGGACAUGCCCCAAUGUAAAGGAUCCAAAUAGGGUGGCUAUGCUCCAAUGAAAAAUGCUCUCCGUCCCGGCUAUGCCCCAGUGUAAAGUAGUGUAUCCGAGUCAGCAAAUCAAUCAACCUCUACUCCCGGUGCCAAAACGGAAACAUCUCAACAUAAUCCAUAUGAAUCAGAAUCCCCGGGCUCCAUGAAUGUGAAUGCGGUGGCUAUGCCCCAGUAUAAACCAACUGAAGUGACUAUGCUCCAAUGACCAAUCAAAGUCCAUCACCAAUGAGAGGGCUACGCCUCAAAUAAAAUCGUCAUCUCAAAAACCAACCAUCGAUGAGUAGAGUGUGUCCCAAUGCAGAGUAUCGAGUAGAGCGACCGUAUCUCCAAUAAAAACGCCCUCUGAAAUGGCUAUGCCCCAGUAUAGGGUCAUCCCACAACUCCUGAUCCAUCGUAAUCCAAGUGAAGAAGCGAACUGACUAUGCCUCAGUGCAAGGCACCAUCCAGAAAGAAAAUGUCAUCAAUGAGCGGGGUAUGCCCCAGUGUAGAUAACGUCGCCUCUGAAAGUCCAUCACCGAUAAGAGGGGUAUGCCCCAGUGUAAAUCAUCAUCUCAACUCCACAUCCAUAAUGCUCUGAGAGAUAAUCACCGACCAAGCUCGAGUAUUGCCCAUGUGUGAGCCGUCAAACACAAUGUGAAGUAAUGGCCUCAGGGUGGUCUUCAGACAUGGGACGUAACGUAGGGCAAGGUAAUAGGGUGAAAGAAACGAAAGGAAACUAGGCUAAAAAAUCCCAAUGAUACAAUCCCCAUACCCCUCGUGCAUGAUAUGCAAUGCGCAGAAAAUGUCAUGAGUCCCGGACCUAGGGGUCCCCACACGAAAAGUGAUGAUAAAUGAAUGGAUACAUCGAAUAAGCAAGAAUAAAGUGUGGAUGCUGAACCCAUGUCAAACAUCAAACAGAAUGAGAAUAGAAUGAGAUAAGAUGAAAUGGAGUGAAACGGAGGGAUAAAAUAAAGAUGAAAGAAGGCGAAGAGAUAGAAAAAUGAGUGAUGGUCAACCUGCAUCAAAGCAUGGAAAGUAGUCACAUCCGAAAUAGACGGAAUGAUGGAUAGAGCAAGGAUCCAGAGAUACAGAAGAAAAGUCGCUCGCAUCUCUCACAAAAAACGAAUGGGCGAAUCAUACUCUCACCCAAAAUAUACAUCAAGAUGAAUCUAAAAAAUAAGCUUUCAUACGAGCUCUCUCUAUCAUAUGAACUCAAUGAAACAACUUGGCACGUCCAUACACAUGCCUGAUGAAGAAUGAUACAAUGAAUAAUGCGCUAUCAUCAAUCAAUUUUUUUAUUUUUUUAUUUUAUUAUUUUUUUAUUUUUUAUUUUUUUUUUAUUUUUUUAUUUUUUUUAUUUUUAUUUUUUUUUUAUUUUUUUAUUUUUUUUAUUUUUUAUUUUUUUUUAUUUUUUUGCGCGUACGCUGAUCAAUAGUGAAUGAACUCCCAUGAAAAUACAUACCCAAAUGAAUAAACUCUCUCCAUGUACUGAUGUAACAUGAAUCCUCACUAACAAGACAACCUCUCAAAUAAGAUCCCUGGACCAUUGCCCAUAAGGCGAACGGGGGAGGAACGUGACAAUCCUCCAUGCAGUGACGUGUGAAAAACCACCACUCAAGGUGAAACACGGAUAAUGUCGAGUAAGCGAUGAUGAAAGAAAAGACAGAGAACGAAUAUCACAAGUGGUGAUAUAUGAUAUAAGAAAAAUAGUGAUGAAAUGAUGUCCAAGUGGAAAAUAUCACAGUGAAAAGUGAAGAAUGAUGCCUGAAUAUGUAUGUCAGGUUUGGAACUCAUGACGUAUCCAAUCAUAGCAUGCAAGCGCUACAGGGUCCCUAACCCGGUGUAAUAGGUAAAUGAGGUGAUGAAAGAAAAGGCUAUGUGCUCGUGUGAAGCUCAAAGGGCUAGCAAUGGAUAACUCUAUAUGUGAGGGUGAUAAAGUAAAUAGGCUCAUGAAAUGAUGGCCACCCAUCCUUUAACCACAACCUCGAACAUCGUGCUUUUGAGAUCUCACAUGGUCAAUACUAAAGACUGGCAUCCAUCCAACAUAGUCAUGGCGACUCAUCUGAAAUCGCGUAAAAGCCCUCACUGAUGCUCUGUGAUAACCGUCAAUAUCCUCGGAUAAUCACCUCACUCUAUCAUCAUAAUCCACUCACCAUCGUCUCAUAAAAUCACCAUCUCUAAUCAUCCCGACUCUCUGAAGUCAUGUGCAAUGACUCAAAUCUGGAUGCUCCAUGACGUCUCCUCUACCUCAACAACAUCGUCAAACAAUCAAGCCACUCUCUCAUCAUGAUCCAUCUAUCAUCGUGUAAAGCUCACCUCGGGUCUAACCAUCUCGGACUCUACCUGGUCAGAUCCAUGAAAUGAUGGAAAGGAUAGGCAAUGGUACUGUAGCCUGAUAAGGCGAACAGGGAUGGUAAAGUCGUACAGUAAUACCAAAGGGUGGUGUCAUGUCAGGCUCAAAAUGGGUAGGUCAUCAAGUCUGAAAAGGCUAAGGUAUGGAUGUGGGUAUGGUACCACUCUAAUCAGAAGGUGAAAUGGGUCACAGCCUCAAACUCCCUAGGUCGAUCUCCUGAUCCUAGGUCAAUAGACUCAAUAUCCUCCAUGAUAGGUCAGACCCAAGUGAUCGUGAUGUAAGUGAAAGAUGUAUCAUAUCGAAAGCAUAACACGCAUCAACGCAAGAUAUGUAAAACACACUCCCGAGAAAAAUGCCACAAUACUCAAGAUAAAAUAUCAUAUCACUAAAUGAACCAACGAGUACAUCAUGUGUGAAAUGGUAAAGGACUACAAACAACUGGACUCUCAACAUGAAACUAAAAACAAUGACCCUAAACCGAAAACAGGACUCAACAAAACAAAAACAACUCUGAUGAACUGAAAACUGGACUCAACAAAAUGGAAAUGAGUCUGAUGAUGACCAUAAUCAAAAUGAGAAAUGCUCUGAACUGAACUGCUACCAAGUGAUGUACCCAUGUCGACUGACCUAAGUCCUCAUCCUGGAAGAUCCCAGAGCGCCAUAUGCCAACAGUACCAUCAACAUCCAAAUCGGUCUACUGAAGACCAGGAGGAGGAGGAACUGCAUGUGUAGAAUGUGUAGGCAGGGGAUUGGUGGUCACACUUGGCCUAGCCAAGUCAACCACCCCUGAAUCGAUCAAAUCCUGUAUCGCAUGAUGGAGUGCUGAACAACGCUCAGUAUCGUGCCCCGGAAUCUGAUGAUACAAGCAAUGCUCAUGUAAACGGAAAUGAGGAGGAAUAGGAUGGGGCAAAGGCCUCGGUGCCAAAGGAACAAUCACUCCAGCGUCUCUGAGCUUCUCAAAAGCUCUAGUCAAAGUCAUACCCAACGGAGUAAACUGUCUCGCGGGCCUCUGUGCAUAUGGCCUAGGUAGCGGGUGAGUAGUGGCUCUCGGAUGUGGUGGUCGCGGCUGCACGCUAGUCUGAGCAAUGUAAGGCUCCUGAGCAUAAUCCAACUGAUACUGAUACUGUGGAAGAGAGAAAGGAGCUCUGACUGUAGGAGGCCUAUAAGCUGAGUGAAGCGCGGGCCUCCGGUGCUGAUAGCUAAUAACACCAACCUCUCCAGAUCUACCCAAUGGUCCAAUCAGCUUCUUCCCCUUACUGUCAGGGGAAGAAGUAGUAUCUGUCCAUAAUCCUCGAGCAAUGGCCUCCUCAACACUGAAAGCUGCCUGAACCAAACUCCUGAGAUCCUGAAAUGGGAUGCCCACAAGACGUCUCGCGAACCUCGGCUGUAGGUUCCGAAGAACCAUAUCAAUCUGAUCCUGCUCCUUAGGCCGGUCUACCAUACCAGCCACCUUUGCCCUCCAACGAGUGACAAAUGAAGAAAUAGACUCCUCUGGCCUCUGUCUAGUGGCCUCCAACUCUCGUCUGGAUACAUCAAUAUCGGCACUGAAAGCGAACUGAGUCAGGAACUCACGAGCCACGUCUUCCCAGGUGCGGAGUCUCGAAGGCUCAACUGAAGCAAACCAUCUCUGAGCUGCUCCACUAAGUGACAUCGGGAAGAGGGCCACCAACUGCGCAUCAUCUAUACCAUGUGCUCUCAUGACCGUGCUGUAUAGCCUCAAGUGGAUCUUGGGACAACCAAUCCCACUGUAACGCUCAAUGUCUGGCAUGCGAAACUUGGCGGGCAAGCUAGCCGCCGGUAUGCCAUCCCUGUCAUCCCAAGUCAAACCUCCGUCCUGCAAUCUGAUCUGUCUCAUCAUGGACUCAAGCCUCUCAACCUUGGCCUCCUGCUCGGCCAAUCGAGUAUCCUCAAUAGUAGGAACCAUGGGAGGCGGCACUGUGACAGUAGGUGGUGGAAUGGUCUCAUAAUGAUCUGCCAGAUGGAACGGAGUACCAAGUGAAACCCUAGGUGGACGAGUCUGUGCUGUCUGAGAUGCAUGAGGAACUGUCUCAUCAAUGACCAUGCCAACCGGCUGGGGAUCCUGGCGAGAACUCUCUAUCUGAUCCAAGCGCUUACUGACUCCGGCCAUGAACUCCUGAAUGGAAGCGAGUGUGGAAGCUAGCUCGUCUGACAUCUCAACUGAACUGUCUGAACUCAAAUAUGAAUCUGAUCUGAUCAAUCGUCCUCCAACUCUCCUCCAAGAAUGUGACUCCAGACUCAACCGACUCCUAAACUGACUUCCUACAAUGCAAACAAGAUGGAUGAAGGACAUGAGAUGAAACUCUAAAAGACGACAGUACAACAUACAAGCACAUGGUCCAGAGGUAGCAAUCAGAAAUCUGGAUAUAUGACGAGAACUCUGGAGUCAUAAAGGUGUCCACUGUGAGAUGGCUACAAAUGUGACUAGAGAAUUCCUAUCAAUAAUCCAAGAUGAAAGAGGUGUGAAAAACACACUAUCACGAGAUCGGUACUCCAUCAAUAAACAUAUACCUUUAACUCAACUUCCAACCCAAGCUCCAUAAGAGAAAAAAUGAUAGGGUGAUCAAGGCGAAUCUCUCGAAAAAAGUGUGGAUGUGAAAAUGCGCCUUUCACCUUUCCGUAAUGAAAAUAUGAGCAUCGGGUUGAAAAUUGAAUCAAGUAUCCAACGAAGAAAUGAAGUACUCAGCCCGUGAUAGGUGUACAAUGCAAAAACAAGAUGAUCAAUGAACAUAUCCCAAAGUAUCAAGUGAGUGACAACAAAGUGAAGGGGUGUGUCGAGCCAAGAAAUGAGAACGAAAUCCCUAGGGAGAAAACAUGCUAAACUCCUUGAGUAAAAAAACAUAAUCUAAGGUGACAAGGCGAAAGGUGAUCCAACCGAUACUCAAACAAAUAACGAUCUCCGAGUACUCUCAACUGGAGACUAAAAAGAGGGAAUACUGGAUCCGAACUGUAACUAAAGAGGCUCCGAAGGCCCUCAGAUGCACCCACGUGUGAGGAAGGAAGUCCUACUCGAAGGAUCUACGGCUCAACCUACGAGGUCAGGUGGCUCUAAAUGGAUAUGGGUGGACUUUAAAAAAAUCCCGAGCAGAAGCGAUCAUACCCUCCAGCGGUACGCAACCCUCUGCACACCUCAGAAAAGACGGGGCGCUUCCAUGCAAGGUGGACAUCGCAUCCACACAUGCACUACCUCGACAUCCCAAGGGGUUUCCUAUGGUGAAUUCUCUCAAACUCUCAACGCUCAAUAGUCAACUAGAGUGCACAGUAAUCGGUGUGGGUGCAUCCGAAACCCUAAGAAGAUAAAGCAGAAGAUGAGACACACUGGUCGCAUAAAUAUCCAUGAAACCUAGCUCGGGGCUAUACAGGUCUUCAAUGAUCGGACUCUAAUCGACAACAAUGCGCCGCUCGCCUCCAGAAUGCUCCCAAACAUCAGUAUAGCCCGUCGCUGGACCCUACUCCUAACCUCUAUCUCGGUCAGAGUACAAGCACACACAAGGCCUCACACUUGCAAAAGUGAGAACCGUAAUGAAGGAAGUGACCGAGACUAGAGGGUGGGAGACAAGGAGAUAGAUAUGCGACCCACAUAAACAAACGGCACACAAUCAUGCAAAAGGAGGGCAGUCAUGCGACACGCAAUCAAACAAAUCUCAGAUAUAUCAUCAAUGUACACACACAAAAUAAGCGAGAAUACGACGAUCAGAUGAAUAAUGAUACAAAGACAACACGCUUAAAGAUGAUCAAAAUAAUAUACCAACAAGUGGAUCAGCAUGUCGAGUCGAAUGAUAUACAGUGGUGAGUGUAUGCAUGUGAAGUGAUUAGAACAAUCAUGGCAAAAUCAGAGUAAAUGUGCUAAGCAAUGCAAUAUGAUCAAUCAAUAUAAAUCAGCAAUGUCGAUGUAGCAAACAUAUAUAAUCAGUGAAGCACGAAAAAUCACGGCCUCAGAAGCCUCAAUCAGGAUAAAAUCAAUCAUCAUAAUCAACAUGUCAAAAGUCUCGAACAGAUAUAAAAUCCGAGUAUACAUCAAAUAUCCUCAAUGUGCAAUCAAGAAAUGGGUACCCAUUGAUCGUCCAAUCGAAUGCCACGUUUGCUUCAUUCUAAGUUCAAGCUUGACCCUCUAAAAAAAAUCCCCAGUGGAGUCGCCAUUUUGUGGACCCCGCGUUUCGAUCUAUCUCAAUGCGUUUCCCACUCAAUGGCGAGCUCGAUUUUUAUUUUAUUAGAAAAAAUGAUUUUUAUCGAUUAAGAAAAUGACUUGGAGUCGCCACUUAUUUUUGUUUUAUUAUUAAAGGGUAAACAAAAUAAGAAAGAAAAACCCUAAGUGUGACUCCUUAUUUUGGAAAAGGCGGUCUGUGAAAAACCGGAUCGGGUUCGGGGGUCAGGUUACUUCUCGGGAAGGUAUGGUAAAGACCGUAGCACCCCUCUAAGUCCCUAAAGUCGGGUCUCUACUAAUAAAAUGAAGCUGACAUGGCAACCAAUGAGAAAGUCAAUGAAUACCUAGGACGAAUCAUGCACAUACGAGAAUUAAAACAUGCAAAUAAAAUGACUAGGAUGCGAGUGGAUGUGUACCUGGACCGUGAACGAUCAAUGCGCUAUCAUAAAACAGGGUUAGUGAGCAAUGAACAAAAUAUAAUUAAGCGCAUAACAUGGAACAAAAUAAAUCAAACACGCACGAUAAGUAAAUCAAUCAAAACAAUCAAUCAAUCGUCAAUUCACAUAUGUGGGGGCCCCACCAAAGCCCGUUUAUUUUUGCAUGAAUNNNNNNNNNNNNNNNNNNNNNNNNNNNNNNNNNNNNNNNNNNNNNNNNNNNNNNNNNNNNNNNNNNNNNNNNNNNNNNNNNNNNNNNNNNNNNNNNNNNNGGAAAAUGGGAGGUUUUAGGCCUUAAAAAUAAAUCUAAGGAUGAAAUUCGAAAGGCAAAAAUUGUUGAAAGGAUUUGGAAAUUGGCCAUUAUAAAAAAAAAACCAUUGGAGGGAUUAUUAUUAAAAGAUGUUUCAGGAAAAUUAAUUUGAAAAUCAUAGGAACAGGAAGUGGGUGAUUAACACGUGGCUUCCGAUUUACUGCCAUUGCCACUAUACCCACCAUAGUCACCAAGCCCAUAGUCAAUGCCUCCAAGUGCUCGGUAGGAAAUAGGCCCAAAACACUAAGACGUGCCCCAGAGUUAGAGAAGAUGCUGGAGAGAUCUUUGAUCAAGCCACUUCACCAGAUUUAUGGCGAUAGAUCUUUCCGAAGACAUGAAGAACGGUGACAAAGCCGAUAAAGCAAAGGUUCAACACGAGAACCACCGUUGGAGUAAUCUUCAAGCCCGGAUCGUCAUCGGUGUAGAACAAGAGCAUGUUGCUCUCGCUGCUGCCACUGCCGCACCCUCCGGAGCUCUAAAACGACAGUGCGUGUGAGGAGAUUGACAACGACACCGUCGAAGACAACCGGUCUACAUAACCCUCCAACAAGCUUCGUCCUGAAGCUACUUCCGCCGCGGUGCUUUCCACAUGUCGUCCAUACAUCCAGUGACCCGAAUCAGCGCCACCUCGUCCUCAACUCCAACGCAGCUGAAUCUCACGCUGCUGUCCAGUUUGACCUGCGUCGGAAAGAACGACGUUGGGGGCCACGCAGGCAUCGACGGUGAUCUUCGGGAGCCACUGCCCCAGGGGAAUUAUCCUUCUCCGUCCUUUUUUUGAGCCUUCAACACUUUCUACAGCAAAAGUCUCCUCAACUUUUGAUGGCCCCCACAUGUACCAGUUGAGGCUAUUUAUGAAUUUCAUGGUUCAGAUUUGCAUCCAUCUUAUCUGAUUAUUCAAUCUGUUCUAGCUUGACAACGUCCAGAUUAAGCGUCCACUUAUUGUCUUCUGAUGAGUCAAGCUAUAAUAACCAGAUUUCUUUGUCGAUGUCUAUUGAUUCGGAUACCUUCAGCACAACAGAUCAGAAAAACUUGUUGCCUCAACUAUAACCUCAGUGUAGCUGGAGGCUCAUAAUCCUGCAGCUUAUUGAAAAAAAGAUCCAGUGACUAAUCGAAAAACCUGCCCAUCAUAGGUCCGACCAGUUCUUCCUCUAAGCUACUCAACCUGAGACUUGGAGACAUAGGCAAGCUCUGGAGCUUCCUUUUUCCGAUUACUGGAAGCUCACAGAGUGACCUUCCUCAUUUCUUCAUUCUACAACAGCGAACUCUCUUUCUCAAAAGCACCCCAAUCCAAACGGCCAAAUUCAAAACAAGAUGUCCAAUACUCCAAAAGAACACCAAAAAAACAGAGAAGAAAGUGAAGAAAACAGAGUGCGUGCAAGAGAUGAUAAUACCAUUAAACCAAACUUUACUUCAUGAAGAUCGGAGAGCUUAAAACAAUCUGGUGGGUUAAGUGAAUGGUUUUAACACAUAAACAAACAACAUCGACACCAUGUGACUCACACAGGAAUAAACAAAAAUCAAGCAAGCAGGGAUGAAAACAUGCUUAAGAUCUUAAACAGUCAAAAUGAACAUUUCAAAUAUUAGGAAAGGAGUCAAAUAUGGUUGUGAAAAGGAAAAACCUGAAGUCGAAGACAACCAAAAUUUGGAUGACUCCUUUUCUCUCUGUGACUGAAAUCCCACCUUCUCGUUCUACUCCCUGAGCUGAGAACUCUCCUCUCAACUCCAAACUCACUCCAGACCAGCCUCUCUUCACUCUCCCCCUCCUCUCUGACUCUCUCUCUCUAGCUAAACUCCUCUAAGCCUUCCCUCCUCCUCAAAAUAUCUCUAACGGACUCUGAAAAGCACUCCCUACUCCAGCUGCCAGAGACGCUCCUCCAUUCACGGCUUCCAGAUUCCCAUGCAACGUGUCCCCUUUUGAUUGGCUUCCCAAACCACUAUUAUGAUUCUCUCAUGGCUUCUCAGGUGUUGACACGUGGCUGACCAAGGCUCUUCCACAUGGUAAAAUUGAGCUGCAAGGUAGGAAUGACCUAAAAGGGGGUCUACACAUGUCUUCGUAUAUCUUUAUCCAAUUUAAAUAGUUUUUAUAUAUUUAUCUUUAUCCAAUAACUUUUUCCUCCCCUAACCCAAAAUAUUUAUAAUGAUAUUCUUAAUAAUUUUUUUAUUAUAUAUAAAAAAGUCUAAUAUUACAAUAAUAUAUUAAGAGUCCUCGCUCAAUUACAAUACUUAAUUUUUUUCUAAGCAAUUAAUUCUCUAUUCCUCUGAUUUUUUUUUGCUUUUAACUACCAUUGGGCAAUUACAUUUUUAAAUACAAUUUUCAAAGUACACGUUUAUCAUAAUUAUAUCUUUAUCCAAUUUAAAUAGUUUUUAUAUAUUUAUCUUUAUCCGAUAACUUUUUCCUCCCCUAACCUAAAAUAUUUAUAAUGAUAUUCUUAACAUUUUUUUUAUUAUAUAUAAAAAAAUAUAAUAUUACAAUAAUAUAUUAAAAGUCCUCAACUCAAUUACAAUACUUGUUUUUUUUCUAAGCAAUUAAUUCUCUAUUCUUCCGAUUUUUUUUUGCUUUUAACUACCAUUGGGCAAUUACAUUUUUAAAUACAAAUUUCAAAGUACACAUUUAUCAUAAUUAUAUCUUUAUCCAAUUUAAAUAGUUUUUAUAUAUUUAUCUUUAUCCAAUAACUUUUUCCUCCCCUAACCUAAAAUAUUUAUAAUGAUAUUCUUAACAAAUUUUUUUAUUAUAUAUAAAAAAAUCUAAUAUUACAAUAAUAUAUUAAGAGUCCUCGCUUCCUUCCAAUUUUUUUUUUGCUUUUAACUACCAUUGGACAAUUACAUUUUUAAAUACGAAUUUCAAAGUACACGUUUAUCAUAAUCCUGUUAAGAAAUAUAAAGAUAUAUCUUUAUCCAAUUUAAAUAGUUUUAUAUAUUUAUCUCUAUCUGGUAAUUUUUUCCUCUCCUAAUUUAAAAUAUUUAUAAUGAUAUUCUUAACAAUUUCUUUAUUGUAUAUAAGAAAAAAUUAAUAUUAUAAUAAUAUAUCAACUGUACUCGCUCCAUUACAAUACUUAAUUGUUUUCUAAGCAAUUAAUUCUCUAUUCUUCCAAUUUUUUUUGCUUUUAACUACCAUUGGAGAAUUACGUUUUUAAAUACAAAUUUCAAAGUAUACGGUUUAUCAUAAUCUUGUUAAAAAAUACAAAACAUGUUCUUUAUCCAAUUUAAAUAGUUUUUAUAUAUUUAUCUCUAUUUGGUAAUUUUUUCCCCUCCUAAUCUAAAAUAUUUAUAAUGAUAUUCUUAACAAUUUCUUUAUUGUAUAUAAGAAAAUUUUAAUAUUAUAAUAAUAUAUCAACCGUCGCUCCAUUACAAUACUUAAUUUUUUUCUAAGCAAUUAAUUCUCCAUUCUUCCGAUUUUUUUUUUGCUUUUAACUAGCAUUGAGCAAUUACAUUUUUAAAUACAAAUUUCAAAGUAUAUGUUUAUCAUAAUCUUGUUAAGAAAUACAAAACAUGUCUUGGUAUAUCUUUAUCCACUUUAUAUAGUUUUUAUAUAUUUAUUUCUAUUUGAUAAUUUUUUCCUCUUCUAAUCUAAAAUAUUUAUAAUGAUAUUCUUAACAAUUUCUUUAUUGUAUAUAAGAAAAAUCUAAUAUUAUAAUAAUAUAUCAAAGUCCUUGCUCCAUUACAAUACUUAAUUUUUUUCUAAGCAAUUAAUUAUAUAUUCUUCCAAAUUUUCUUUUCUUUUUUUCUUUUAACUACCAUUGGACAAUUACAAUUUUAAAUACAAAUUUCAAAGUACACAUUUAUCAUAAUCCUAUUAAGAAAUACAAAACAUGUCAUAUAUGUUGUCUCUCAUUUUAAUAUUUGAUAUUAAAAUCAUAUUUAUAAUAAUUGAUUAAUAACAUGAAAAGGAUGUAUUCUAGAAGUCCUAAAAUUCAUUAUUAUCACAUAAAAUAAAUAUAAAUUUAAACUCCAAUUUUUGAAAAAUGAUAUUACAAAAUUAUGAUUUAGAGCUACGAUUGGAUGAUAAUUUUGCAAAAAUUUGUGGAGUAAGAGAUAAUUAUGAGUGUAAACAACUCGUGGAUUUGUAUUUGGAUUUGGAUUCAUCAUAUAUUUAUAUUUUUAGGGUUUUGAUAAAACCCUAAAAAUAUUUUGACUCCGAUUUAAUUAUCUUAAAUUGGUUGGACCUGAAAAUAAAUUGAGAAAUAGGCAGGAAUAGAAAAAUACAAGGCAAAGACGAGCUGUCCCAGUGGCGUGGAAAAAACUUCUUAACUUCUCUGAAUAACUGCCAAAUAUCACGAAGGCCCCAACAAACAUACUAUUAUUACGCACUUUGCUGUUGCAGAGUCGCACCUAAAUUCCUCUCAAAUUCCUGCUUCCUCCACCAAUGGCCACUCUCUCUGCCUUCUCUACUCCUUCUCCUCCAUGGCCAAAUCCUAACCCUAGCUCUGACCCUAACCCUAACGCUAAGUCAGACUUGCCUGAUCAUGAGGAGCGGUCGCAGAGAACCGAACUGGAGGAUGUCGAUUCGCCGCCGAAUUCUCGUCCUACUCAAAACUUUAACCCUAACAUCCAGGAUGGUCGUCUGUCUCCAUCGUCGGUUCCGUCUCUUCUCCACAUCUCGUUCAACCAAGACUACGGAUGCUUCGCGACGGGUACAGAUAGGGGGUUUCGCGUCUAUACGUGUGACCCCUUCCGUGAGAUAUUCCGGCGAGAUUUGGACCGCGGCGGGGGGAUUGGGGUUGUUGAAAUGCGGUUAGUGUCUAAUUUGAUGGCCUUGGUGGGCGGGGGCUCCGACCCUCAGUACCCGCUCAACAAGGUCAUGAUCUGGGACGAUUAUGAGAGUCGGUGCAUUGGCGAGCUCUCGUUUCGGUCGGAGGUUCGAGCAGUUCGUCUCCAGUUGGACCGGAUUGUGGUGGUGUUGGAGCAGAAGAUUUUCGUGUACAAUUUCGCGGACUUGAAGCUUUUGCAUCAGAUGGAGACGAUUGCGAAUCCGAAGGGGCUUUGCGCGGUUUCGCAGGUGGCUGGGUCUAUUGUGCUGGUGUGUCCCGGGUUGCAGAAGGGGCAGGUUAGGGUUGAACACUACGCGUCUAAAAGGACCAAGUUCAUCGCGGCCCAUGAAUCCAGAAUUGCGAGUUUUGCGCUCUCAAUGGACGGGCAGUUGCUUGCGACUGCAAGCUCUAAGGGGACUCUGGUCAGGAUUUACAACACAAUGGAUGGGGUAUUGCUCCAAGAGGUACGUAAUAGUUUUUCUCAUUCAGUGGAAAUUCUGAACUUUUAGUGGAUCAUAUGAAAUAGAGCAUCAAAUUUCUCGUUGAAAUGCAAUCUCUUGUUGAAUAUAGCUAUGGAUUUAUGAAAUUUGGUUGAUUUUGUGUGUGGAACUUGGUGGUUUGGAAAUUUCUUAAUUGCAUAAUUGUGGAUGCCCCGUGUAUGCCUCUCUUAGCAUGCCCUCAAAGCCUAAAUGAGAUUCUAGAACUGGGGAUUGAUAUGGUUGAAAUUUUAGUCUUCAGAAUUAUUUUCAUUUCAUAUUAUUUUGAAUUGACAUUGGUGCCUACAUUUUGAGGUGUGACAAAAUUAUCAUCACUCUUAAUUGAGCAAAUAUGUCUUCACAUGCAUAACCCAGCAUGCUGUAAUUGCUCAUAGAUCCUCUGGAAAGAUUGGGAAAUUUUACAUUGCAAUUCAAUCUGCUGCGCAAUUAAGAAACGUUAGGCUCAGUCCUUUGAAGCUGUCAAGCCAAAUAUGUCAGCUGAAUCUGGCCUAAGCUGAACCGGGAAACCUAAGUGGGUUACAGUGAAUUUACUUCUGAGGUGCCAAGUUACCAUGUUUGGGAGAGAAAAUAUGAACUAUUUGUUAGUUCCUCUACUCAUUUGUUGACUAAUUUUUUUUAUAGGUACUUUCCCCUUCUUUGGUCCCCAGUGUGGGACUUGAACUUGGAACCUCCCACAACCCCACCCCAAACCUUUAUGCUGUUGCAUUGUCCCUGCUGUACUAUUGGGUCAGAUUGCUUUUCAAAGCAGGGCCAGGAUGGACUUGCGUGAAGCCCUGGAUGCAGGCUUGCUGCACUUUGGGCUUGUCUAAAGAAAGAAAUAAAGUAGAACAAAUGUGAUCUUUAAGUAUAAGUAGCCUUAGCUCAGUGGCAACUAAACAGGUUGGAUUUUUUUUUAUCGUCAUUUCAAUUCCUUACACCUACAAUAUGAAGUAGGCAUUAUCUGGUCUCAGGCUGCACAUUGUGCUGAGGCAUGCCCAUACAAAGAUGCAGGUAGAGUUAUGGUCUGAAGAUUUGGGCUGAGUUUUUGUGUCUUCAGGCCAAUUUACAAUCACUAAACUCAUGCAGAACAAUUCAUGGAAAAGGAAACAGAGAAUCGAGGAGAGGUUAUCACUAUACUGCCUGUGUCAUUGACCAUAGGAGGUUUGUUUUGUUCUAUGUUCAUUAAACUUUGAUGACAUUUUUUGUUCUAUGUGGAAUAUCAUGAAAAUGUGGAUUUCUAAAGCAAGAUGUUAGUCUCCAUUUCGAACCAUUACCUCUAAUGCACUGUAUCUGAUCAUGGUUUUAUCACAUGUCAUCCAUGUAAUGAAUCAACUGGGCUUGUCCAGUAUUCUUGAGACAAUUGAUCUACAUAAUCUGUUGCUUAAUUAAUUUGGGGAAUCUACAUAAAUCAAUUCCUGCAUUAGGAAAUGUAAGAUUUUUCUUUUUGGUUUUUUUUUGGGGUUUUAAAGAUAAGAAUGUCUCUACAUGCUCCUUCUGGUCUUGCCAAGUGGGGAACUUUUCUUGUUUCUGCUGGGAAUCCAAAUUUACAAUUAUUUUAUCCUGAACUACUUGUAUUCAUGUUUGUUUAUGCUUUUGAGUUCAUAGCAUUGUAGAUAUAUUGCAAAUAACUGGAUAUCUAAUGCAGUUACGAAGGGGUGCUGACAGAGCAGAGAUCUAUAGUAUGGCAUUCUCUUCAACUGCACAGUGGCUGGUAGUCUCAAGUGACAAGGGCACUGUCCAUGUUUUCAGCCUUAAGGUUAAUUUAGCAUCCCCUGGGAAUGACAAGUCACGUGGUGCAUCUAAUUCCAAUCUGGCAGUAGCAUCAUCCACCUCAUCACUCUCUUUCAUCAAGGGUAAGGCACCUUUUCUUCAGUGUAUAGUUGUCUCAGUGAUAUGCAAGUUCUUACCAAAUUAGUGAUCUUGUGAAAUGAAACUCUCACUUUUUUGUCCCUCAAUACUUUUGAUUUGUGAUUUUCUGUCCCUUGUUUUUUACGCUUUUUUUAUGCAAUUGUUUUUCUUUGCUUCCCCUGCAUCUGUCAUUACUUGUUGCUUACUAGGAAGUAAUGAUGGAGAGUUGAUGAGCAAGACCCCAAGAACAAGAUGCAUUAGACAAUGUCAAUGUAUUGACUGUUGAAGGCUAAUAAUAAAUUGUGUCUUUGGCUUAGAACUUACUUGAAUUCUUACUUACAGGAGUAUUGCCCAAGUAUUUUAGCUCAGAGUGGUCAGUGGCUCAGUUUCGCUUGCCUGAAGGUUCUCAAUACAUUGUUGCUUUUGGUCACCAGAAGAAUACUGUGGUAAUUCUUGGAAUGGAUGGAAGGUAAGUGAGCACCAAGCUCAAAGAGGACAAACUUUAUGUAAUCCAAUAUAACUGCUUGUUACUUUGAAAUUUUCCUAUUGGCAUGCUCAAUUUUGACUUUUUAGAAAGUAUACACAUAUAUUCACCAGACUAUCAUCUGGGCUGUGGUUGGAGGGAAGAGUGGCUUCUACUGAACAACAAGCGUUUUUCAAGUUGCUUGUUGAUCAGGAGAGAGCUGCAGACCAUACAUCACAUGCAGUCAUCAGUCUUAGUAAGCUAUUCAUUGUAGAAACAUCUCCUUCUUUCUAGCAUAGGUUAAAACAUUGCAUCUGGAAGGUUGCAUGAGACAUUUUCUUUGACCACUAUAUUUUUAUUUCCCUGAUUCUUCUUUGCCUGCAACCCAUGUUUUUGCCUCUCUCUCUUCCCUCCAUCAGCCCAUGUUUCUUUUUCUUUUUUGUUUCACAUUCAUCAUAACGUUUUCUGUUAGAAAAGAAACUGGAAAUAAAAUUGUUGAUAUUCACUUGAAUUUGAAUGAUUGAAUGCAGCUUCUAUCGAUGUCAGUUCGAUGCAGUGAGCGGUGGAGAGAUGAUUCAGCUGGAGUACCACAACUUCCUUAAACCUGAAAAUACUAUGUAAUAGGGGCUUGGGUUACUUGUACGUUCUAUUUCUGGGCUAUGUAUAUAACAUUCCCUUUAUGGUUUUUAUCUUGCAUUUUACCCUUACCUAUGGAUGGCUACACAAAUCUAUUGUAAGUAUCUCAGUGUAGAUGGGUCACAAUCUAUAUAUACUGAUUAUAGUCAAUAUGAAAACAAAUUAAAGCAAACUUGUGUAGCAACUGUCUUCAUCCUAUUCAUAGUUUAAUUUCUUCUUUUCUGUGAGAUCUGAGUAGUGGCAUGUGAGAUAACAGCGUGUAAAGUUUCAUUCCAGCCUAGCACACUCUUCUUCAACUUCACCUUAUCUUCUCUUCUUCUUCAGUUUUGAUUUAUUUUUAAUUUAAUAAAAUAAUUGUUUAAUGUAUCAUUCAGGGUUCGGUUGUACAUUUUUUUUUUUAAAGAAAAAAAUGUUUAAGUGAGGGAAUACCAAUGGCAGAGUCCUAAAAUAGCUAGUGACAAGGCUCAGACUUCAAGUCCUCUGUGCUUCCCCAUGCCUUUUAUUUCCCUUUGUAUAUUGGAAAUAUAGCCCCCAAAAAAUCAAAUAUUAAAUGAGGAAGAUAAGAAAGAUGACUUAUCGUAGUAACACAAUGUGACAGAAGGAACUAGUAAAAUAUAAAUUUACUAACUAAAUAAACUAGAUGCCAUGUGUCAAAAAAAUAUUAUAGAUUUUGAAAUUGUUUAUCAGAGAUCUCAUUUCAAAAAAAAAAUUUUUUUUAAGUUAGUGAAUUUCUUCUUUUUUGCAUUUUUUUUUCUUUUUUUUUUUUUAUAAAAAAAAUCCCUCAUUUUUUGCCCUUGGAACUUCAAUCUUGCUUGGUUAGCUUAAUUCAAUGGUUUAGGGGUCAGAAAGAGGUGGUGACCAACCUGCAAAUACCACCCAACAAUGCAAUUAUGCAAGAAGAAGGGUCUGAAAGCCUGAAAGCUUGUUUGAUGAUAAACCCCAAAAAAGCUUUGGAAUACAAAGAGUGUUGGGGACAAGAAAUGAGAACGCAUCUCAAGAUGAAAUCUAAGGUCUCCAAAUUUGGUGCACUGAAAACUGUGAUUUUGACUGACUCACCUCUGACUUUUCUUUCUGCAGCAGCUUUGCCCCCAUCCACCCACCCACCCACAUGCCUACCUCCAUCGUCACACCCCACACACCCCCCCUCUAUACACCAUUUUCAUCACGCAAUCAUAGCUUCUUUUCCUUCCCUGAUAUCCCACAAUCAUCAGAUUCAUCACUCUACCUUGGACCACACACCCCUCCCAAGUAAUACAACUUUUUUUUCCCUUUUUACCCCUAUGAAUAGUCAAAGAAUUUAAUUGUAUGUCACAGACUCACAAUCAGCCAUACAGCUCCAAUGUUUCAGAGAGAAAGAAAAAAAAAAAAAAAAAAAGUACAUGGGUGGAGUGUAGCAUUGGGCCUCUUACAUAGACCAUGUGAUACUGAGUCAUAUUUACCUGACCAAAUGUAUAAAAUAAUUAACAAUCCAGAUUCACAUGGCAUAUAUAGAAAUGAAAAUGGCCCCAUUCAUAAUGUUCCUCUGAAAUUUCAUGAUACCAAUGGUGGGUCAAUAUCUGACCACUAAUUGGGGAUUUAAAACUAAUCUUCUGCCAUUAAUUUACAUCUCCAAUGAAUAAACAACUCUCAUUUUAUCAAAAAGUUUUAUUAUAUCAACUCGAAUAAUUAAAAUCCAUCAACUCUAAAUUAUUUUUUUUUAAAAGAAAAAUAAUUUGAGUGUAUGAAAUUAUUUUUUUAAAUUACAAAUUGAAUUGGUAAUUUACCAAUUCAUUUCCAUUAUAGUUAUGAAUAAAUCAUUUCGUAUACCACUAAAUAAACCCAUGAUCUAAGCCUUGAUUUAAAAAAAAAAAAUUCUAAAGUUGGUAGUGUAUACACAUUCAAAUAUAAUCUAUAUUUUUUUUUUACUUUGAUGCAAUUUAAGAAACAAUUUUUUUUUUCCAAAUAUCAAAACUAUUUUUAUUUUUCAUAAUCUAUAUUUUAAAUUAAUUAAGACUUUAAUUAUAAUUAUUUUUGAAAGUUGAUUCUUCUUUCUUUUUCGCAAAGCUCACAAGAGCAUAUAAUUUGAAAAAUAGAAAAAAUAAAAAAGAAGAAGAAAAACAAGGAAUGUUCUUAAUGAAUUUGUGUAGAAAAUUAUUUUAUAUUCAAUAAAAUUUUAAAAAUACUAAAAUAUUUAAACUUUGUUUCCAACUUCUAAAAAAAAUAAAAGAUGUGAUUACAACAUUGAAAAAUGCUUUCUCGAUUUCUAUUGAAAAAAUAGUAUGAAUUAAAUGGUGUCAAAUAUAUAUUUUUAUGUAUUCUUAUUUAAUCUAAGUCCAUAUUUUUUUGUUCAAUAUUAAGCUACAUUACCUUUUCAUUGUCCAAAAAUUAUUGCAAGCAAGAAUAGUAUUUACCUGUGCCUUUUCUUCUUCAUGAAUUCAAUGUGAACAGUAGAGAAGUCCUUUCUAAAGGAGCGGGGCAAGUUGAUUGAAACAAGAGAAUCGAGGUGGACAGCAACUACACGAAACACCACUGCAUAAGAAGCCAACAAACUAGUAUAUAAAGCCCACCAUACCCUCUUCAUUUGCAGUACCACCUCACCAUCCUCCAUUCAUAUUGCCCAUUUUCACCCACCUCUUUCUCUCUCUUUUUCUAUUUUUUCUCACCUACCCUCCUUCUCUUUCUCUCUGCCUCUCAGUUUCUCAGUCUUUCAAUGGCGCUCAAGCUCCAUGGAAUUCCCAUGUCCACAUGCACCACUCGUGUCCUCACCUGUCUCCAUGAGAAAGGCUUGGAUUUUGAGCUUGUCCCUGUUAAUCUCUUUGCAGGUGAACAUAAGCAGCCUCCUUUUCUUGCCAAGAAUGUGAGUCUCACUUCCCUCUUUCUUUCUAAUCAUCCCUCUUUAUUCUCUUUGAAGAUUUUACUUUUCUUUGGGGUUGUAUAAAUUAUGAUUUUCCUUGGUUUGGGUACAUUGUUUUUAGUGUGCAGUCUUGUCGAUUUGAUUUUGGUCUUGGUUUUGUUAUACAUAUAUGCAGCCCUUUGGACAGAUUCCAGUUCUGGAAGAUGGCGAUCUCACUCUUUUUGGUAAGUCCUCGGUUUUAAUCACUUUCCUCAUAAAAGCUUGAAAUUUGUUGUACUGUACUACCAUCAGGAUUGACAGUUCCUGAGAUUUAUUAGCUGCUUGCUUUUGAACAAAAUUUUGCUUUAAAAAAUUAAAGGAGUUUUUCUUACAAAAUCAUGCUAUUUAGUACAACAUACGAGCUGGGUCUAUGAUACUAUUAAGUAUACUAUUGCCCCAGCCUUACUGAAAAUCCCUAGUCGAUGAAGUUGGGUUACUGAAAUUAUGUAUAUGUACCAGAAUCUAGGGCAAUAACAGCAUAUUUGGCCGAGAAAUACAAGGAAACGGGGUGUGAUCUCUUGAGGCACAAUGACCUCAAAGAAGCUGCAUUGGUGAAGGUGUGGUUGGAGGUUGAAUCCCAACAAUAUCAUCCGGCAAUAUACCAGAUUGUGUACCAGUUCUUCGUGUUGCCUCUACAAGGCAAGACGGCCGAUCAGGCCAUUAUUGAUGUAAAUCUGGAGAAGUUGGGUAAGGUUCUGGAUGUGUAUGAGGCCAGGCUGGGCACCACAAAGUGCCUAGCAGGAGAUUUCUACAGCUUGGCUGAUCUUCACCACCUUUCUUACACUUACUAUUUCAUGAAGACGCCAUGGGCUUCCCUCAUAAACAGCCGUCCCAAUGUGAAGGCAUGGUGGGAGGACAUUUCCUCAAGGCCAGCUUUCAAGAAAGUGGCUGAAGGCAUGACUUUUGGUGAGAAGUGAUCGGUUUCUGAGCAGUGUGGCUCUAUGUUUUGGGGUAAUAUUAAUUGUAGUGGUUGCUGCCUCUUAAUUACGUGUAUUUAAGUGUGAGACCACGUAAUAAUUACUGAUUAUGUGUUAUGAUUUGCCCUAAAUUAAUCAGAAAUGUGGAAUUAUCUGGGGUUUCUCAUUGUGGUAAUUAAUCUGCUUGCAACCAGUUUUUGAAAGGGUUUGAUGCAUUUUUACUCCAUACUUUGCUUUAGCUAGGGUUAUGUUGGUGUCUCUAAGGCAUAAUGCUUCCAUUUUUGAGUCAUUGCAUACUCAGAUCAAAGUUUUCAAGACUUGUAGAAAAUGGGUUUUGGUAUUUUCAUGAAAGAGAAUGAAAGGGCAAAUUUCUUCACAAGGCAUGUAGUAAGGGUUUUCCCUUUCAAUCAGUCUUUUUCCUGAGAAACAAACAGAAUGUAUAUCAUGCCGUGUCAUCCACUGUGACAGUUUUCCUCUGAAGAGUUUUACUGCAGUACUUCCUAUUUAUUCCCAUUUUUACUUCCCAAACGAGGUAAACACGUACUGUACUGCAGCUCUGGUUAUUUUCAUCAUCCUUGCUUGUCCAAAGCAGCUUCACUCUUUGAACCUAUUUUUAUUGUUAUAUAUAUAUAUAUAUUAGGUCAAAUUAAUCUUCCAAUUUUCUAACUCUAAGCCCUUGCAAAGAGUUUUUGUAGUAUCAUAUGUAUCUACUAUCAGUCAAGCAGAAACUGGAUAAUGUUCUAUAUACGCUUCAAUAAUUAUGGAUCCAGCAAAGGAGAUCUUUUGUUAUGCUACGGGUCUCUACUAAAAUCUGAGGCUGGAACCCACUUCAAUUAUUCACUCAUUUUGUUCUCAUAGAACCUUCAGCCAUGUGACCCUCACCCUCCAACUAACUUUCAACCACAUCUACCACCUUUCUUUCCUUUUUAUUUUUAUUUUUUAGUUUUGACCUAAUUCCAUCUAACUCUCAAAAUGUAUUCUAAAUCAUGCAUCACAGUCUCAAAAUAUAUGUAGGCCCUUCUCUCUAGAUUCUUGAUUCUAUAGUCUUGUACAACCCAAAUUUCUUAGACUCUAGUCUGAAUAAGCUUGAUAGACAUGAUUGUGCUUAUUAUUUAAUAAUUUAAGUUUUUCUUAUAGUAAUUAAUAGUUUAAUAUGAUAUAAUAAAAUUUCUUAUCUUAAUUAAUUUGUAAAAUUAUCUAGAUGAGAUAAAUAGAUAGUCCUAAUUUUUAACUCCAAAAAUUGAUUUUUUUUCUCAAUUAUAAAUUUUCUUAAUCCAAUGCGAGAUUCAAAUAUCAAAAUAAUAGCUAGUUUCAUAAGACACUUGAUGUAUGUGGAAAACCAUCAACAAUCAUGGGUUUGCAAAACAAAGUAAUUACUAAAUCUAAAAGAAUAAGUACACAAUUUUUAUCAAAAUUUGAUACUAUCUUCUCCCAAGGGUCUUAUGUUGGCACAUAUUUACACUUGUUUUCAUGUUUGAGAUGCAACACCUUAUACCCUUUAGGAAACUCCUCAACUACUUGAUAACAUAUAAUCAACCAUUAUGAUUUGAUCUCAAAUAAGAGUUAAGCGAUUGAAAAUGUAUGUGUAGUGAGUUUGAAAUGAGAAUGAUAGAGAAAUUGAACUUUUUCAUUAGACUUUAAAUGAAGCCAUUAAGGAAGAGAUCCACUCCCAAGAUUAAUUCAAGAUGGGGAUAUAAAAAUGGUAUCUUACCAUAAUGACGUCAUCCAUCAAACUUUAUAUGAAGAAGAUAAAUCCAUUGGUUGAACUCUUUAUAGAGGAAUAAUUGACUCUUUAUCAUUAAACAAUAUAUGUUUGUUUUCAACUUGCAAAGAAUCUUAUUCUAGUGCUAUUAAAAAAAUUCUUAAAUAUUUAAAAAGAAUAAUUAAACUAUGUUUGUGAUAUCAUGCAUACUAACUUUGAUCUAAUUAACUAAUUAAAAGUGGAUUUUCCGUUUGUAAAAGUAAUGGAAAUGUAUUAGUGGUACUUAUAAUGUUUGUUUUCAAUCUUACAAAGAAUCUUAUUUUAGUGCUAUUAAAAAUAUUCUUAAAUAUUUAAAAAGAAUAAUUAAACCACGUUUGUGGUAUCAUGCAUACUAACUUUGAUCUAAUUAACUAAUUAAAAAUGGGUUGUUCCAUUUGUAAAAGUAAUGGAAACGUAUUAGUGGUACUUCUAACUUUCUAGGCCACUCACUAGGUUUUGACAUAGUGAUCGAACCUUUGAUCAAUUGAGUUGUCGUGUGCGAUAUAUUUCAUAAUGACUAAUUGAUGCAUGGUGGUUUAGACUUAGUCUUAAUUGGUUGAGGACUUGUUGAUCAGAUGUUAAUCGAUUAAGGUUCUUGCACCUUAAUGAUUACCUCCAAGUGUACUUUUAUUUAAUAGCAUGUUUCUUAGUCCAUCGCCUAAUCCACUAAUUCAGCUAAAAAUGUGCCUAAGGGCUAGUUUCACUCUAGAACUCUUAUUUAAAACUUUCCAACCUUGAGCAAUCAUUGUAGCAAUUUAUUGAAUGGUUCUCUAGAAUACUCUUAUUCCCAAACUCGCAAGUCUCAUUUAGUCUACCUUAAUCUUAGUUUAUUUAUAUAUUUGAUCCUGAAUUUUGCAAACUAGAAAGCUUACUUUAAGAAAUUCACUCUUGUAUUCAUGAAAGAGUAUACUGAAAUGUAAGGGAUCACUUGAGGGCAUUGCAAAGGCAUAUUGGAAGCUUAAAUAUAAGUGUAAAAAAAUUAAAAGCAAAAUCUUAGCACUAGUGAAUGGACCUCAAGCUUAGAUUGAUGAAAGAGAGAGUGGAUAUAGGAGUUAUAGAACCAUUAUAAGUACUUUAUUGCAUCACUCUAUCCCUAUCUCUAUUAAUUUACUUGCACUAUAUUAAUUUUUAUAAUUUGCUUUUUAAUUUUCUAAAUUUUGCAAAAGAACUAACACCGAAUUCUCCUCCCCUCUUGGGUGUCUUCCUCAAGUGAACUCAACUAAUUUGCUUUUCAAUUUUCUAAAAUCAUGAAUCAAUGUAUCAUAAAGCAAAUCCACUAAUUUAAAAAGAAUUAAUACACGGUUUUACCUUAACCAUAUGUUAUCUUCCCCUAAUAAUCUUACACCAAUCAACACAUCCAUUUGUUUUCACGUUUGCAAUGCAAUAUAUGCUCCUUAGUAAACUCCUUAGCAAUUUGAGAUAAUACAAUCAACCAUCAUAAUUUAUCCUUUAAUUAAAGUUAAGUUUUCAGGAAUAUUGGAAACACACAUGAGAAUAACGACAAUUAUUUUCGAGAGCAUGUUGUUUUUUCAAUAUAAGGAGAAAAUCUUACUAAGUCUAUCCAAAUACAUUAAUUGAAAAAAAUAUAGAAUUAGAAAAUCAUGAAAAAAAAAAAACAAAUGGGUCCAAGGUAAACCGAUGUACUCCAUUUUGUCAUGAAUAUUCACUAAAAAUUACUCAACCGUACACAAGCUUGACACACAACAUUUCCCCACUACGUAAUAGCCAUUAAAUCAAAUGAAAAAUAAAAUCUCCAACGUUAAAUUAAGUUGACACCGUGUGCAUCCCUGGUUUCAUAAUGCAGAGUGAGAUGAAACAGAAUCGAUGCACAAGUACUGGGAAAUAAAAUUACCCAUCACGAGUCUAGAAAAUGGGUUCUGAUAUUUUCACAUAAGACAAUGUUGGAGGAUUCUAGGAAAAGAAAGAGAAUGCGGGAAAGGGAAAAUUCUUCACAUGCCUACAGCAUUUACGGCAUAAAGAACGUUUUCUUUCUCAAAGCAUGUGAUCUUUUUCCUGAGAACCAAACAGAUGGCAAAAGCAAGUUCCUGCUUGUCCAAAAAAACCCUGUACUCAUUGGACUAACAAAGCCUGAAUUAAAUAUGGGCCAUUUCGUACCUUCACCAUGGCCCAUUUCUUGUGAUGUUCUUUUGAAUAAAUUUAAGAAAUUACUGUUAGAAAUCAAAUAGAUUGAAUAAAUAUUUUAAUUUAUAAAAAAAUCAUCUUAAAUAAAUAACAAAUAAUAAAUAGGAGAAGGAAAAGAGAAAGUACGUAUAUUUGCAAUGUUACAUUACCUCACCUUAUCGUUUUCCAAAACUUAUAGUAAGCAAGAAUUGGAUUUACUUCUGCCUUCUAUUCUUCAUCAAUACAAUAUGAACGGUAGAGAAGUCCCUUGUUCUAAAGGAGCCGGGCAAGUCGAUUGAAACAAGCGAAUCGAGGUGGCCUGCAACUACCCUAAACAACACUGCAUAAGAAGCCAACAAACUAGUAUAUAACGCCCACCAUACCCUCUUCAUUUUCAGUACCACCUCACCAUCCUCCAUUCAUAUCGCCCAUUUUCACCCACCUCUUUCUCUCUCUCUCUCUCUCUCUCACUCUCUCAGUUUCUCAGUCUUUCAAUGGCGCUCAAGCUCCAUGGAAUUCCCAUGUCCACUUGCACCACUCGUGUCCUCACCUGUCUCCAUGAGAAAGGCUUGGAUUUUGAGCUUGUCCCUGUUAAUCUCUUUGCAGGUGAACAUAAGCAGCCUCCUUUUCUUGCCAAGAAUGUGAGUCUCACUUUCUUCUUUCUUUCUAAUCAUCUCUCUUUCUUCUCUCUGUAGAUUUUGCUUUCUUUGGGGUUGUAUAAAUUAUGAUUUUCCUUGGUUUGGGUACAUUGUUUUUAAUGUACAGUCUCGUCGAUUUGAUUUUGGUCUUGGUUUUGUUAUACAUAUAUGCAGCCC